Callithrix jacchus (white-tufted-ear marmoset) is the source of this 716-nucleotide long non-coding RNA. The record is from Ensembl. NCBI's taxonomy places the organism in Eukaryota, Metazoa, Chordata, Mammalia, Primates, Cebidae.
ACAAGCACAGCAUGUUCUCAUUCGUAAGUGGGAAUUGAACAAUGAUAACACAUGAACACAGGUAUUUGAGAUGAUCCUGAUGUACAGACAGUAGACCUGGUGAGUUCCAGCAGUAGUUUGAAAACUUUAACCUGCAUUGGAAUAAGCUGGAGGGCUUGUUUAAACAGACUGCUGAGGCUUCAACCCUAGACGUUCUGAUUCAAAUAAAUAACUUUAUUUGGACUGAGAGCUGGAGAAUAAGAAUAGGACCUGAGACAUCGUAUUGGGCUAAGAAGGAGAGAAGACGUUCCAAAAUGGCAGUCAAAGCACAUCAACGAAAUGGACUCUACUUCCCAGCAACCUUGCAGUUAGUGCAACCAACAAAAAGCCUGCUGGGGAAUGUAUUUGCCACUAAAUUCCCCAAGUAUGCCAACAUUACAAAAACGAGAGAUUUUUCAUUAUAAUUAAAUUUUUGCAAACCUCCCCAAUCAUAAGUAUUAUAAGAGUAAGUAAAAAAAUCACAUUUUACACAUCUCACACUUGUCUUCAACAUUUAGUUCAUCAUCUUCAAAAAAUAGCUUCCCUGCUAAACUCAUUAGCUAUAUGAUCUAUCCAAGCAGCAGGAAGAUGGCCAUGCCAUGGCAAUCCUCUUUCCAUUCUCCCUAGCCACUCAGGGCUGAACAGCAGGGUGAGGCUCAGCUGGGGUUAGAGGUGGGGAGCACAGGGAUUACUUUCUC